Molecule: ribosomal RNA, 477 nt
Filed under: Amycolatopsis sp. 313A10
Lineage: Bacteria; Bacillati; Actinomycetota; Actinomycetes; Pseudonocardiales; Pseudonocardiaceae
Description: bacterial SSU rRNA
Rfam family: Bacterial small subunit ribosomal RNA
Source: RNAcentral
UAGUGGCGAACGGGUGAGUAACACGUGGGUAAUCUGCCCUGCACUCUGGGAUAAGCCUUGGAAACGAGGUCUAAUACCGGAUAUCACAACGCUUCGCAUGGAGUGUUGUUGAAAGUUCUGGCGGUGCAGGAUGAACCCGCGGCCUAUCAGCUUGUUGGUGGGGUAGUGGCCUACCAAGGCGACGACGGGUAGCCGGCCUGAGAGGGUGACCGGCCACACUGGGACUGAGACACGGCCCAGACUCCUACGGGAGGCAGCAGUGGGGAAUAUUGCACAAUGGGCGAAAGCCUGAUGCAGCGACGCCGCGUGAGGGAUGACGGCCUUCGGGUUGUAAACCUCUUUCGCCAGGGACGAAGCGCAAGUGACGGUACCUGGAUAAGAAGCACCGGCUAACUACGUGCCAGCAGCCGCGGUAAUACGUAGGGUGCAAGCGUUGUCCGGAUUUAUUGGGCGUAAAGAGCUCGUAGGCGGUUUGUC